UCCAAGGAGUAAGUGUCUUUUAAUUUCCUGGCUGCAGUCACCAUCUGCAGCAAUUUUGGAGCUCAAAAAGAUAAAGUCUGACACUGCUUCCACUGUUUCCCCAUCUAGUUCCCAUUAAGUGGCUGAUAUUGGUUUGAGACUGCUGUUUGGCUUUGGCCUGCAGGGAUUUGUUUGCCAAAGUUUAGAUGUAGUGAGAAUGUGUGUGCUGUAAGUUUUGGUCUGUUAGUUUAGGAAGGAAUAAAGGCAGUCUCAUCCUGAGAGAAAUUUAUGGACACUGGUCCAGUUUUUUGAGAGAUGACAGUCUGGUCAAGCAGAGAAAGACAUGGCCAGAAAGUAAAAAAAAAAAAAAAAUGUGUACUUCAUAAAAAGACAAGUUGAACAUUCUCAUCUUUCUAUGUUUCUAGCCCAUUUAGGCAUGACGUUGCUCACAACCAAUCAGCCUGUCUAUUCCUUUUCCAGUCCAUGUUUACAGGCAAUAAAACUGUUAGGCAGUGCUCACAACUGACCUCUACUGAUGGAUAAGGAAAUUGAAGCCCAGAGAAAUUAAAUCCUUUCCUGCUCUCUGAUCCAAGUUAUUUUCUCUUGGCUUCCUUACCUGCCUUCUCUUCCACCUCAACAUGGUUCCUUAAGCCUGGUCACCUGAUUCAUCUCUGUCCUACAUAUACUUCACACUCUGUUUUAUUCCCCAAUUCUGGAAAAAGUACAGAGAUGCAUUGGCCUCACUUUAGUUUCAUAC
RNAcentral lists this long non-coding RNA (736 nucleotides) under Capra hircus (goat). RNAcentral describes it as "lncRNA (ENSCHIG00010020883.1)". Lineage: Eukaryota; Metazoa; Chordata; Mammalia; Artiodactyla; Bovidae. The record is from RNAcentral.